Prunus avium (sweet cherry) is the source of this 536-nucleotide non-coding RNA. NCBI's taxonomy places the organism in Eukaryota, Viridiplantae, Streptophyta, Magnoliopsida, Rosales, Rosaceae. The record is from RefSeq and is a predicted model, not a curated record.
GAGAGGUGAAAGACUCUCACAAAAGGAGAGGUAAAAACUACACCGAAAACUCAAAGAGUCUAUGUGACUUAUUCCAAAUAUAAAGAAACCGCAAAAAGAAUAGUGGUAGAGAUCCGACACCGAGACGCAUAUGGAGAUCCGAUGCCGAGAUGCAUCCGUCUAUGAUAAGACAAAGGAGCCAUUGCCGUCAACCCUGCCUUUACCCUCACUCAAUCUCUCACUUUCUCUUAUGGUCGUGAUAUCUCAACCCUAAAUUUGGUAUUUAUAAUUUGUUAUUGGAGAACUUAUAGGUUUUUCGGAGUAGUUUGGCCUUGAAGACUACAUGUUUUACAAAUUAAGAUCCAUGGAAGGUUUCCUUGAGAUUGGAUGGUUUGGGUUGUGUGCUUGGGAAGUAGGAUUCUGGUACCGUUUAUUUGAUUUGGUAUAUUUGGUCCACUAGUUUGCAUGUGAACUAGCUAGUUUUUAUUGUAAUUUUAUGUUUCUGCAAUUUUUUUUAUAUGCUUGUGUUUACUAGCGGGAUUCCGUUCAUUUUUGAA